GACGAACGCUGGCGGCGUGCUUAACACAUGCAAGUCGAACGGAAAGGCCCCGUUGGGGGUACUCGAGUGGCGAACGGGGGAGUAACACGCGAGUAACCUGCCCUUGACUUCGGGAUAACUUCAGGAAACUGGGGGUAAUACCGGAUAGGAAUCCUUGCUGCAUGGUGGGGGUUGGAAAGCUUCGGCGGUUUUGGAUGGACUCGCGGCUUAUCAGCUUGUUGGUGGGGUAGUGGCUUACCAAGGCUUUGACGGGUAGCCGGCCUGAGGGGGCGACCGGCCACAUUGGGACUGAGAUACGGCACCGACUCCUACUGGAGGCCGCAGUGCGGAAUCUUGCACAAUGGGCGGCGGCCUGAUGCAGCAGCGCCGCGUGCGGGAUGACGGCCUUCGGGUUGUAAACCGCUUUCAGCAGGGGCGAAGCUUGUGGUGACGGUACCUGCAGAAGAAGCACCGGCUAACUACGUG
Molecule: ribosomal RNA, 465 nt
Filed under: uncultured bacterium
Lineage: Bacteria
Description: partial 16S ribosomal RNA
Rfam family: Bacterial small subunit ribosomal RNA
Source: RNAcentral